GCGAUCAUAGCUCAGUUGGUUAGAGUGCCGGAUUGUGGUUCCGAAGGUCGUGGGUUCGACUCCCACUGGUCGCCCCA
Molecule: transfer RNA, 77 nt
Filed under: Bacteroidales bacterium
Lineage: Bacteria; Pseudomonadati; Bacteroidota; Bacteroidia; Bacteroidales
Description: tRNA-His
Rfam family: tRNA
About the family: Transfer RNA (tRNA) molecules are approximately 80 nucleotides in length.
Source: RNAcentral